GCGCCUGUAGCUCAGUAGGACAGAGCACGGGAUUCCUAAUCCCGGGGCCGCAGGUUCAAUUCCUGCCAGGCGCA
RNAcentral lists this transfer RNA (74 nucleotides) under bacterium. RNAcentral describes it as "tRNA-Arg". It matches the Rfam family "tRNA". Rfam says of the family: Transfer RNA (tRNA) molecules are approximately 80 nucleotides in length. The record is from RNAcentral.